ACGCGUGAGGAACCUGCCUCAAAGAGGGGGACAACAGUUGGAAACGACUGCUAAUACCGCAUAAGCCCACGGGUCGGCAUCGACCUGAGGGAAAAGGAGUGAUCCGCUUUGAGAUGGCCUCGCGUCCGAUUAGCUAGUUGGUGAGGUAAUGGCCCACCAAGGCGACGAUCGGUAGCCGGACUGAGAGGUUGAACGGCCACAUUGGGACUGAGACACGGCCCAGACUCCUACGGGAGGCAGCAGUGGGGAAUAUUGCACAAUGGGGGAAACCCUGAUGCAGCGACGCCGCGUGGAGGAAGAAGGUCUUCGGAUUGUAAACUCCUGUUGUUGAGGAAGAUAAUGACGGUACUCAACAAGGAAGUGACGGCUAACUACGUGCCAGCAGCCGCGGUAAAACGUAGGUCACAAGCGUUGUCCGGAAUUACUGGGUGUAAAGGGAGCGCAGGCGGGAAGACAAGUUGGAAGUGAAAUCUAUGGGCUCAACCCAUAAACUGCUUUCAAAACUGUUUUUCUUGAGUAGUGCAGAGGUAGGCGGAAUUCCCGGUGUAGCGGUGGAAUGCGUAGAUAUCGGGAGGAACACCAGCGGCGAAGGCGGCCUACUGGGCACCAACUGACGCUGAGGCUCGAAAGUGUGGGUAGCAAACAGGAUUAGAUACCCUGGUAGUCCACACCGUAAACGAUGAUUACUA
This 689-nucleotide ribosomal RNA is filed under the name uncultured bacterium. RNAcentral's name for it is "bacterial SSU rRNA". It matches the Rfam family "Bacterial small subunit ribosomal RNA", at positions 113 to 818 of the family's 1533-position model. The record is from RNAcentral.